CUGCAGCUAAGCGUCUGAUGGCUUUGUUAGUACCAUCGUAGGAGACAAUAUGGGAAUCCCGGGUGCUGUAGGCUAUUUUU
This is a non-coding RNA of Schizosaccharomyces pombe (fission yeast), 80 nucleotides long. The record is from the annotation of a GenBank genome assembly. Lineage: Eukaryota; Fungi; Ascomycota; Schizosaccharomycetes; Schizosaccharomycetales; Schizosaccharomycetaceae.